RNAcentral lists this ribosomal RNA (494 nucleotides) under uncultured bacterium. RNAcentral describes it as "bacterial SSU rRNA". It matches the Rfam family "Bacterial small subunit ribosomal RNA", at positions 30 to 523 of the family's 1533-position model. The record is from RNAcentral.
AUUGAACGCUGGCGGUAUGCUUAACACAUGCAAGUCGAACGGUAACAGGCCUUCGGGCGCUGACGAGUGGCGGACGGUGAGUAACGCGUAGGAAUCUGCCUCAUAGUGGGGACAACGUGGGGAAACUCACGCUAAUACCGCAUACGCCCUACGGGGAAAGCGGGGAGUCUUCGGACCUCGCGCUAUGAGAUGAGCCUGCGUUAGAUUAGCUAGUUGGUAGGGUAAAGGCCUACCAAGGCGACGAUCUAUAGCUGGUCUGAGAGGACGAUCAGCCACACUGGGACUGAGACACGGCCCAGACUCCUACGGGAGGCAGCAGUGGGGAAUAUUGGACAAUGGGCGCAAGCCUGAUCCAGCAAUACCGCGUGUGUGAAGAAGGCCUUAGGGUUGUAAAGCACUUUCAAUUGGGAGGAAAACCUGCCGGUCAAUACCCGGUAGCUUGACAUUACCUUUAGAAGAAGCACCGGCUAAUUCCGUGCCAGCAGCCGCGGUAA